This 173-nucleotide ribosomal RNA is filed under the name uncultured bacterium. Its description in RNAcentral is "partial 16S ribosomal RNA". It matches the Rfam family "Bacterial small subunit ribosomal RNA", at positions 1320 to 1500 of the family's 1533-position model. The record is from RNAcentral.
ACGAAGCUGGAUUCGCUAGUAAUCGCGCAUCAGCCACGGCGCGGUGAAUACGUUCCCGGGCCUUGUACACACCGCCCGUCAAGCCAUGGGAGCCGGGGGUACCUGAAGUGCGUAACCGCGAGGAGCGCCCUAGGGUAAAACUGGUGACUGGGGCUAAGUCGUAACAAGGUAAC